This 699-nucleotide ribosomal RNA is filed under the name uncultured bacterium. Its description in RNAcentral is "bacterial SSU rRNA". It matches the Rfam family "Bacterial small subunit ribosomal RNA", at positions 1 to 739 of the family's 1533-position model. The record is from RNAcentral.
AGGAGUUUGAAUCCUGGCUCAGAACGAACGCUGGCGGCAGGCUUAACACAUGCAAGUCGAACGAGAAGCCGGAGCUUGCUCCGGUGGAAAGUGGCAGACGGGUGAGUAACGCGUGGGAAUUUACCCAGUGGUUCGGAAUAACGCAUGGAAACGUGUGCUAAUACCGGAUACGCCCUCCGGGGGAAAGAUUUAUCGCCAUUGGAUGAGCCCGCGUCGGAUUAGCUAGUUGGUGAGGUAAAAGCUCACCAAGGCGACGAUCCGUAGCUGGUCUGAGAGGAUGAUCAGCCACACUGGGACUGAGACACGGCCCAGACUCCUACGGGAGGCAGCAGUGGGGAAUAUUGCGCAAUGGAGGAAACUCUGACGCAGCCAUGCCGCGUGAGUGAAGAAGGCCUUAGGGUUGUAAAACUCUUUCGCUAGGGAAGAUAAUGACGGUACCUAGUAAAGAAGCCCCGGCCAACUCCGUGCCAGCAGCCGCGGUAAUACGGAGGGGGCUAGCGUUGUUCGGAUUUACUGGGCGUAAAGCGCGCGUAGGCGGGCUGGUUAGUUGGGGGUGAAAUCCCAGGGCUUAACCCUGGAACUGCCCUCAAUACUGCCAGUCUUGAGUUCGAGAGAGGUAAGUGGAAUUCCUAGUGUAGAGGUGAAAUUCGUAGAUAUUAGGAAGAACACCAGUGGCGAAGGCGGCUUACUGGCUCGAUA